GACGAACGCUGGCGGCGUGCUUAACACAUGCAAGUCGAACGGAAAGGCCCUGCUUUUGUGGGGUGCUCGAGUAGCGAACGGGUGAGUAACACGUGAGUAACCUGCCCUUGACUUUGGGAUAACUUCAGGAAACUGGGGCUAAUACCGGAUAGGAGCUCCUGCUGCAUGGUGGGGGUUGGAAAGUUUCGGCGGUUGGGGAUGGACUCGCGGCUUAUCAGCUUGUUGGUGGGGUAGUGGCUUACCAAGGCUUUGACGGGUAGCCGGCCUGAGAGGGUGACCGGCCACAUUGGGACUGAGAUACGGCCCAGACUCCUACGGGAGGCAGCAGUGGGGAAUAUUGCACAAUGGGCGGAAGCCUGAUGCAGCAACGCAGCGUGCGGGAUGACGGCCUUCGGGUUGUAAACCGCUUUCGCCUGUGACGAAGCGUGAGUGACGGUAAUGGGUAAAGAAGCACCGGCUAACUACGUG
RNAcentral lists this ribosomal RNA (468 nucleotides) under uncultured bacterium. RNAcentral describes it as "partial 16S ribosomal RNA". It matches the Rfam family "Bacterial small subunit ribosomal RNA", at positions 28 to 507 of the family's 1533-position model. The record is from RNAcentral.